This 496-nucleotide ribosomal RNA is filed under the name uncultured bacterium. RNAcentral's name for it is "partial 16S ribosomal RNA". It matches the Rfam family "Bacterial small subunit ribosomal RNA", at positions 28 to 507 of the family's 1533-position model. The record is from RNAcentral.
GAUGAACGCUGGCGGCGUGCCUAAUACAUGCAAGUCGAGCGAACGGACGAGAAGCUUGCUUCUCUGGUGUUAGCGGCGGACGGGUGAGUAACACGUGGAUAACCUACCUAUAAGACUGGGAUAACUUCGGGAAACCGGAGCUAAUACCGGAUAAUAUUUUGAACCGCAUGGUUCAAAAGUGAAAGACGGUCUUGCUGUCACUUAUAGAUGGAUCCGCGCUGCAUUAGCUAGUUGGUAAGGUAACGGCUUACCAAGGCAACGAUGCAUAGCCGACCUGAGAGGGUGAUCGGCCACACUGGAACUGAGACACGGUCCAGACUCCUACGGAGGCAGCAGUAGGGAAUCUUCCGCAAUGGGCGAAAGCCUGACGGAGCAACGCCGCGUGAGUGAUGAAGGUCUUCGGAUCGUAAAACUCUGUUAUUAGGGAAGAACAUAUGUGUAAGUAACUGUGCACAUCUUGACGGUACCUAAUCAGAAAGCCACGGCUAACUACGUG